RNAcentral lists this long non-coding RNA (508 nucleotides) under Pan troglodytes (chimpanzee). RNAcentral's name for it is "lncRNA (ENSPTRG00000054273.1)". The record is from RNAcentral. Lineage: Eukaryota; Metazoa; Chordata; Mammalia; Primates; Hominidae.
GUGACAGCCAAGGUGAAAGCUCCACAAUUGGGAUGAUGAGCAAAAGCUGGUCCCAGUGGGCAGAGCACAGCAACCAGGAGAUGAGGAGAGGCACCAGGCUGAGAUCAUGGCGUGAGAGGGGGCUGAUGGCCUGGCUGAGCCUCACCGCGCAGGCGCUCUUCCCCAGCGCAGACGCCCUGCUCUGUCCUGACAGUCCCGCGUUGCCCUCAAUCUGAAGGUGUGGAUAAUUAAGAUCCAUGGAAACAUCCGCUAAUAGGUGGAGCCUGUGGUCUCUGGCAAUGCCCUGGAAUGCCCUGGAAUGGUUUUUUCCUUCCUGUGGGAUCCCAGAUGAGAUGAAAGGUCAUGGCCACUGUUCUUAAACCAGGUAUGUCAAGUCUAUAGCCCCAUUUCCUGAAGAUGGGUUCUGCAUUUGCACAGAGGUCAACAAACACCAGACAGGGCAUCCUUGCCGAAGGCACUUCUCUUUAGGAAGCCCACCUGCUUGCCCUUUUUGCCAUGAAUGUUUCCA